AACGCGAAGAACCUUACCAAGGCUUGACAUAUAGCGAAAAGUGGCAGAGAUGUCAUGUCCGCAAGGGCGCUAUACAGGUGGUGCAUGGUUGUCGUCAGCUCGUGUCGUGAGAUGUUGGGUUAAGUCCCGCAACGAGCGCAACCCUCGUUCUGUGUUACCAGCAUUCAGUUGGGGACUCACAGGAGACUGCCGGGGUCAACUCGGAGGAAGGUGGGGAUGACGUCAAAUCAUCAUGCCCCUUAUGUCUUGGGCUGCACGCAUGCUACAAUGGCCGGUACAAAGUGCUGCGAAAUCGUAAGAUUUAGCGAAUCACAUAAAGCCGGUCUCAGUUCGGAUUGAGGUCUGCAACUCGACCUCAUGAAGUUGGAGUUGCUAGUAAUCGUAGAUCAGCAACGCUACGGUGAAUACGUUCCCGGGUCUUGUACACACCG
Molecule: ribosomal RNA, 431 nt
Filed under: uncultured bacterium
Lineage: Bacteria
Description: bacterial SSU rRNA
Rfam family: Bacterial small subunit ribosomal RNA
Source: RNAcentral